Molecule: ribosomal RNA, 497 nt
Filed under: uncultured bacterium
Lineage: Bacteria
Description: partial 16S ribosomal RNA
Rfam family: Bacterial small subunit ribosomal RNA
Source: RNAcentral
GAUGAACGCUGACGGCGUGCCUAAUACAUGCAAGUCGAGCGAACAGACGAGGAGCUUGCUCCUCUGACGUUUGCGGCGGACGGGUGAGUAACACGUGGAUAACCUACCUAUAAGACUGGGAUAACUUCGGGAAACCGGCGCUAAUACCGGAUAAUAUAUUGAACCGCAUGGUUCAAUAGUGAAAGUCGGUUUUGCUGUCUCUUAUCGCUGGAUCCGCGCCGCAUUAGCUAGUUGUUAAGGUAACGGCUUACCAAGGCAACGAGGCGUAGGCGAGGUGAGAGGGGGAUCGGCCACAUUGGAAGUGGGACACGGACCAGAGUACUAAGGGAGGGAGCAGUAUGCAAUCGGACGCAAUGGGCGAAAGCUUGACGGAGCAACGCGGAGUGAGUGAUGGAGGUCUUCGGAGCGGAAAACUCGGUUAUGAGGGAAGAACAAAUGUGUAAGUAACUAUGCACGUCUUGACGGUACCGAAUCAGAAAGCCACGGCUAACUACGUG